UUGCUAAGACUUUCUAAGACUUUUCUCUCAAUCAAAAUGCUUCUCAAAAGUUAUAACCUCAGCUGAGAUUUGAGGGGUAUUUAUAGGCCUCAAGAGGAUUCAAAUUUUGGGCUCCAAAAUUUGAAUUCUCUUAGGGUUCCCGGUGCUGGAGGUGCCACCGCCCAACCAGGCGGUGCCACCGCCCAGCGCUCGGGUGCUGGACGGUGCAACCGCCCAGCCAAGGAGGUGUCACCG
Molecule: long non-coding RNA, 234 nt
Filed under: Musa acuminata (dwarf banana)
Lineage: Eukaryota; Viridiplantae; Streptophyta; Magnoliopsida; Zingiberales; Musaceae
Description: long non-coding RNA (MACU_LNC008708)
Source: RNAcentral